GAUGAACGCUGGCGGCAUGCCUAACACAUGCAAGUCGAUCGGUAAGGCUCUUCGGAGUACACGAGAGGCGGACGGCUGAGUAACGCGUAGGAACACACCCUGCAGUGAGGGAUAAGACACCGAAAGGUGUUCUAAUACCGCAUACGGUCUUCGGAUUAAAGCAUUUAUGCGCUGAAGGAGUGGCCUGCGUCAUAUUAGAUAGUUGGUGAGGUAAUGGCUCACCAAGUCGAUGAUGUGUAGCUGGUCUGAGAGGAUGAUCAGCCAGACUGGAACUGAGACACGGUCCAGAAUCAUACGGGAGGCAGCAGUGAGGAAUAUUGCACAAUGAGCGAAAGCGUGAUGGAGCAAUGCCGCGUGCAGGAUGAAGGCCCUCGGGUUGUAAACUGCUUUUAUAAGAGAAGAUUAUGACGGUAACUUAUGAAUAAGGGACGGCUAACUACGUG
Molecule: ribosomal RNA, 443 nt
Filed under: uncultured bacterium
Lineage: Bacteria
Description: partial 16S ribosomal RNA
Rfam family: Bacterial small subunit ribosomal RNA
Source: RNAcentral